AUGAUGUGGUUUAAUUCGAUGCAACGCGAAAACCUUACCCACCUUUGACAUGUACGGAAUCCUUUAGAGAUAGAGGAGUGCUCGAAAGAGAGCCGUAACACAGGUGCUGCAUGGCUGUCGUCAGCUCGUGUCGUGAGAUGUUGGGUUAAGUCCCGCAACGAGCGCAACCCUUGUCAUUAGUUGCUACAUUCAGUUGGGCACUCUAAUGAGACUGCCGGUGACAAACCGGAGGAAGGUGGGGAUGACGUCAAGUCCUCAUGGCCCUUAUGGGUAGGGCUUCACACGUCAUACAAUGGUCGGUACAGAGGGUUGCCAAGCCGCGAGGUGGAGCCAAUCCCAGAAAGCCGAUCGUAGUCCGGAUUGUUCUCUGCAACUCGAGAGCAUGAAGUCGGAAUCGCUAGUAAUCGCGGAUCAGCAUGUCCGCGGUGAAUACGUUCCCGGGUCUU
RNAcentral lists this ribosomal RNA (446 nucleotides) under uncultured Acidovorax sp. RNAcentral's name for it is "bacterial SSU rRNA". It matches the Rfam family "Bacterial small subunit ribosomal RNA", at positions 936 to 1382 of the family's 1533-position model. The record is from RNAcentral. Lineage: Bacteria; Pseudomonadati; Pseudomonadota; Betaproteobacteria; Burkholderiales; Comamonadaceae.